RNAcentral lists this ribosomal RNA (492 nucleotides) under uncultured bacterium. Its description in RNAcentral is "partial 16S ribosomal RNA". It matches the Rfam family "Bacterial small subunit ribosomal RNA", at positions 29 to 507 of the family's 1533-position model. The record is from RNAcentral.
AGUGAACGCUGGCGGUAGGCCUAACACAUGCAAGUCGAACGGCAGCACAGUAAGAGCUUGCUCUUACGGGUGGCGAGUGGCGGACGGGUGAGGAAUACAUCGGAAUCUACUUUUUCGUGGGGGAUAACGUAGGGAAACUUACGCUAAUACCGCAUACGACCUACGGGUGAAAGCAGGGGAUCUUCGGACCUUGCGCGAUUGAAUGAGCCGAUGUCGGAUUAGCUAGUUGGCGGGGUAAAGGCCCACCAAGGCGACGAUCCGUAGCUGGUCUGAGAGGAUGAUCAGCCACACUGGAACUGAGACACGGUCCAGACUCCUACGGGAGGCAGCAGUGGGGAAUAUUGGACAAUGGGCGCAAGCCUGAUCCAGCCAUACCGCGUGGGUGAAGAAUGCCUUCGGGUUGUAAAGCCUUUUUGUUGGGAAAGAAAAGCAGCAGGUUAAUACCCCGCUGUUCUGACGGUACCCAAAGAAUAAGCACCGGCUAACUUCGUG